GUUUACUACUUUAUUGAACUGAAGAGCAGUUAGAUAAUGUUAAAAGAAUCUUCCAAGAUUAAUAAGCAGAAUGUGGGAUGGGGAGUACUAAUUUAAAGUCUUGAAAAUGAAAAAUGUUCCAAGGAAAAGGUGGAUGCUGUUGUCUCUUUCUCUUUCUGCUCUGAUGUAGUGCGUGUGCUAAGCUUAGGUCUGAGCACUGGCGGAUCCCAUGGGUGUGGCUCUGAGGAAAUUGACGCAGUGGACUGCUGCCGGACAUGGAACUGGAAUCCUCGAAAUCACCCCUCUAAAUGAAGCGAUAUUGAAAGAAAUUAUUGUUUGUGGAGAAUUUUAUCUAUAAACAUUCCCAAGAGGCAAAAUUUGUUUUUGUGGAACCACUUGAGUGGAACACAGGUUUGGCGCCCUCAGCAUUUGAAUCGGGUUAUGUUGUCAGUAAAGGGGAUUAGCUUCAAUGAAGACCAGCAAAAGGAAAAGGAUCAGCUUGGCAAAGCCCCCAAGAAGGAAGAAGCAGCUGCCCUCCACAAAGACAUUUCUGGUUCAGGCAAGAGGUCACUGGAGAAGAACCAAAUUAAUUUUUGGAGGAAUCAAAUGACCAAGAGAUGGGAACCAAGCUUAAACUGGAAGACCACUGUUAAUUACAAAGAGUAUGUAGACAUUUGCAUUUGCUUUCAGAUGCAUCUUAGUAACAGUAUUCACCUAAUGUUUCACAUAACUUUAUUUAUUUAUUUU
This 726-nucleotide long non-coding RNA is filed under the name Pan troglodytes (chimpanzee). RNAcentral describes it as "long non-coding RNA NONPTRT001686". The record is from RNAcentral. Lineage: Eukaryota; Metazoa; Chordata; Mammalia; Primates; Hominidae.